RNAcentral lists this ribosomal RNA (1429 nucleotides) under Fusarium oxysporum. Its description in RNAcentral is "partial small subunit ribosomal RNA". It matches the Rfam family "Eukaryotic small subunit ribosomal RNA", at positions 45 to 1507 of the family's 1831-position model. Lineage: Eukaryota; Fungi; Ascomycota; Sordariomycetes; Hypocreales; Nectriaceae. The record is from RNAcentral.
AACGCCAUGUCUAGUAUAAGCAUUAUACCGCGAAACUGCGAAUGGCUCAUUAUAUAAGUUAUCGUUUAUUUGAUAGUACCUUACUACUUGGAUAACCGUGGUAAUUCUAGAGCUAAUACAUGCUAAAAAUCCCGACUUCGGAAGGGAUGUAUUUAUUAGAUUAAAAACCAAUGCCCUUCGGGGCUCACUGGUGAUUCAUGAUAACUCCUCGAAUCGCAUGGCCUUGUGCCGGCGAUGGUUCAUUCAAAUUUCUUCCCUAUCAACUUUCGAUGUUUGGGUAUUGGCCAAACAUGGUUGCAACGGGUAACGGAGGGUUAGGGCUCGACCCCGGAGAAGGAGCCUGAGAAACGGCUACUACAUCCAAGGAAGGCAGCAGGCGCGCAAAUUACCCAAUCCCGACACGGGGAGGUAGUGACAAUAAAUACUGAUACAGGGCUCUUUUGGGUCUUGUAAUUGGAAUGAGUACAAUUUAAAUCCCUUAACGAGGAACAAUUGGAGGGCAAGUCUGGUGCCAGCAGCCGCGGUAAUUCCAGCUCCAAUAGCGUAUAUUAAAGUUGUUGUGGUUAAAAAGCUCGUAGUUGAACCUUGGGCCUGGCUGGCCGGUCCGCCUCACCGCGUGUACUGGUCCGGCCGGGCCUUUCCCUCUGUGGAACCCCAUGCCCUUCACUGGGUGUGGCGGGGAAACAGGACUUUUACUGUGAAAAAAUUAGAGUGCUCCAGGCAGGCCUAUGCUCGAAUACAUUAGCAUGGAAUAAUAGAAUAGGACGUGUGGUUCUAUUUUGUUGGUUUCUAGGACCGCCGUAAUGAUUAAUAGGGACAGUCGGGGGCAUCAGUAUUCAAUUGUCAGAGGUGAAAUUCUUGGAUUUAUUGAAGACUAACUACUGCGAAAGCAUUUGCCAAGGAUGUUUUCAUUAAUCAGGAACGAAAGUUAGGGGAUCGAAGACGAUCAGAUACCGUCGUAGUCUUAACCAUAAACUAUGCCGACUAGGGAUCGGACGGUGUUAUUUUUUGACCCGUUCGGCACCUUACGAGAAAUCAAAGUGCUUGGGCUCCAGGGGGAGUAUGGUCGCAAGGCUGAAACUUAAAGAAAUUGACGGAAGGGCACCACCAGGGGUGGAGCCUGCGGCUUAAUUUGACUCAACACGGGGAAACUCACCAGGUCCCGAACCCAGGAGGAUUGACGAAUGGAAAGCUCUUUCUUGAUUUUGUGGGGGGGGGGGGCAGGCCCGUUCUUAUUUGUGGGGAGGGAUUUGUCUGGCUUAAUUUGCAAUAACAAAAGAACCUUAACCUGGUUAAAAAACCCGCAUUGGUUUUGGGAAAACCCGGGCUUUUUUAAAGGAAAUACGGGCUCACCCCCAAGGAAAUUUUGAGGAAUUAAAAGGUUGGGUAGCCCCCUAAAAAUUCUUGGGGGCCCCCCCGCCCCCCCUCG